CAAUCCCCAAAUCGAACAACUCCACAACCCUAACCCGUGUUGUGUCGCUGCCCACCUCGCGCUCGAUCCACGGUCCGGACGCCAUUGCCGCCGGCCUCGCGCUCGAUCCAAAGUCCGGCCGCCAUCGCCGUCGCCCUCGCGCUCGACCCCGUCAUCAAGCCGUCGUCCCGGAGGUCGCACCCCCCUCCCCCAAGCUCCACCCCACAUCCACCCAUCCUCGCACUCUGCCCCUCCACCCGAGAUCGAGCCACGGUCCUCGCACUCCACAAUCCGACGGCCGUCCUUGUGUCCUCCUGACAUCCAGCCGUCGUCCUCGCAAAUCUCCAUCCCUGCUACCUCCGGGGCUCCAUCGUCGUGCUCCCGCUCCUGCCGGAUCUGCUGCUACCGGGGCUCCAUUGCCGGCCUCCCGCUGCUGCCGGACAUGUUGAUGCCACGGGAUCCAUCUCCAGGCUCAUUACGCUGCUACCGGACCUGCUGUCGGGGCUCCAUCUCCUUCGAGUUGUGCCCCUCCAAAAGCCAUCCGUCCCCGUGCCUUGAGAUACUUGGCAAAUUUGAUAUUAAUGGUGCAUCAUGGACAAAACGUGGUUGUCUAAGCCUAGGUACAUCAAAGUUUCCUUUUUCCCGAACUCAUAAGCGGUAUAAUUAUGUAAUGAACUGUUCUGAUAUCUCUGUUUGUGGUGAUUGGGUACAUGAGUCGACAACGAAGCUCGGCGACGUGAUAUGGCGCUCGGUGUAGGUGGCCAUGGUGGACCUGAAGCUAGCUGAGAUAAGCGAUGGGGAAACCGGAGACUGAAUUUACCAACAUGGAAGGAUUCCUCAAGAGCACAUUAGCACUUGAAGCUGCUGCUGUCGCAGCUCUACAAUUUUUCUUCUUUCCGGACGCCUGAUAGCCCGAGCAUGCAAUAGCAGCAGCACGAGCAGGCCGUGAUGUGCAACAUCAGCAGAGCGCUCUCAGUGCAGCGGAACUACUCGGGCGUCUCUGACGACAGCAUAUUUGAUACUGAAGUUGAAGAUUGUAGCACGACAUUCGUACUAGUGAGAAUUACAUAUCAAAGAUGCCAAGAAGACAACUAAUGUGCCAGGAGGUGCAGGUACUA
Long non-coding RNA from Triticum urartu, 1097 nucleotides. RefSeq lists it as uncharacterized. The record is from RefSeq and is a predicted model, not a curated record. NCBI's taxonomy places the organism in Eukaryota, Viridiplantae, Streptophyta, Magnoliopsida, Poales, Poaceae.